CCCGCCUGCUGCCUCACGUGCUCUGAGGGUGAAAGGCUUUGCAGAAUCAGGCCUGGCGCUAGCCUGGGCUUGCUGUUUGCUGGAGAGACCUGCUUGGUCAGCUUCUGGAGGCUUCCAAGUGCCCAGGGGCCUAUCCACCACCUUCCUGUGAAUAGCACCUCGGACGAAUCCCGACCAGGAGGCCCUGCGGAGUAAAGAGAGCUCAACUCCUGCACACCCAGCAUCAUGUUGGGGAGGGGACGGGGGUCAGCUCCGCAAGUCCAGACAGCAGCAGUUCCUGGGAUACGCAGUAUUUGCGGGGACCCCGACCUCCGGAUCUCCCCCUUACUCUGGCGUCUCCUCAAGCCAUGCCUCUCGAGCCCUGGACUCCCUCACCAAUUUCAGCUGCGCGAGGGCAGCCGGAAGAGCCCUGGACAUCUGGAUCUGACAUGUUAGAUAAGUCACCUUGUCACCUUACC
This is a long non-coding RNA of Propithecus coquereli (Coquerel's sifaka), 458 nucleotides long. RefSeq lists it as uncharacterized. The record is from RefSeq and is a predicted model, not a curated record. Lineage: Eukaryota; Metazoa; Chordata; Mammalia; Primates; Indriidae. The transcript has 3 exons.